Molecule: unclassified non-coding RNA, 4499 nt
Filed under: Zea mays
Lineage: Eukaryota; Viridiplantae; Streptophyta; Magnoliopsida; Poales; Poaceae
Description: misc RNA Zm00001eb411930
Source: RNAcentral
AUAUUUUCUCGCGGUAUUUAUCUUCUCCCACGCGCGCACAGGCUUCUUGCUCCCUCGUGUCUUCCUCCUCUGCCGCAGCUCGCUUCCUCUCUGUUUGCCAUGCGCCCAGCCGCCCUUCCUCUUCCUCUCGACGCCCUGCUUCUCUCCCGCCUCGCGGCCGUGGAGCUUCCCUGCUGGCGCGCCCCCGCUCCCUAUUUGCCCCAUCUCGCGGCGUCCCAUCUCCCACGCUCAGCCGCACCUCUGCUUCUCUGCUCGGCGCCCUGUCUCUCUCUCUCUCCCUCGCGGCUUCCCUUCUCCCGAGUUUCCCCUGCCAUGGCACGCCUGCUCCCUAGCUCGCCGCUCGCCUAGCCCAGCCACCCCUCCUCUCUUCUCCCUCGCGGUACCUCUCUGUUGGCGGACGUUUUCCCAGCCGUGGAUCUCCUUGUGUGCCGCGCUCGUGCGUGUCCCAGCUUUUCCCUUUCCUGGCGCUCGUGCCCUGCUACUGCAUCGGCUCUAGCUCGUUCCUAUGGAGCCGGUCGCCCCUUCCUGCUCGCCUAAGCCAAGCUCCCAUGGCGCCGUUCUUCCCUGAGCUCCCUCACGUCGCGCCCCUGGCUCGGAUCUCUUCCCUGCGCUCACCGUGGCUUCCUGCUGCAGCUCGCCCCAGCUCGGAUCCGCUGCGAGCUCAUCGGACCGCGUCCCUGGAUCGCCCCAGCUUCCAUGGCUGCUCGCGAAUUCCCUCUGUUGGCCGCGUAGACCUCCUAGCCGCGGGCGGCUCUGGCCCAGGCUGCCGUCGCGCCCUCCCCUGCAAGCUGCCACGUCCUGGUGGCUGGUGUUCACUUACGUCGUCUCGACCUUCACCAGGUGCGCGUGCCGGCCAUCGGCCUUGCCAUGGCGCUUCGCUUCCCCCAGCAGCGCUCUCCUCCUCUACUCCAACCAUAGCCGCGCCCCUCAGCUCGCCUGCACGUUUCUCUGCUCGCCGGCGCGCCCUUCCUGCUGCCUCACUCGGUCUUCGUCUCUGUCGCGCCGAUCUGCGCUCGUCCGUGGCCGUCGAACACGCCCAGCUCCUUACUCGCCACGGCCUUGGUCGUCGCAUCGCUGUGUGCAGCGGUGGCGUGGCGGGUAUUGGUCGCGGGCAUGGUCGGGGCGACGCAAGAUCUGGGCACGCCGUCAUUUCAUUAUGCCUAGCGUCGUGCCUUUUAUGCCAGUCAUCGAUUUCUUAUUCACCACAACACCGUCAUCCCCUGCCGUGCCCUGGAUGUCGUGCUCGUUGUGGUCGGCUCUGGUGGUCGGCAUCGUCGACCGUCAAUUCCGUCAAUAGCCACGUUCAUUCGUUAUUGUUCAGUACUCCGCGAGAAAGAAAUCUAGGGAAAUCUGGGUGUUGAGCACCAAUUUGAGCGCGGACGGUCCGGCCCUGAGGCCGGACGGUCCGCGCGUGCGCAGAACAGAUUAGGGUUCCGAGUUUUGUGCUACGGUUGUUAGCUAAAAUCAUGGGAUAAGCUCGGAAAUUAGUUUGUAAAGGGUCCAGCCCCCCUCCUCUAUAAAUAGAGAGGUAUACGGCCGAUUUGUAAUCAACAAUCGAAUCAAUACAACUUCUAUUCGCAUUUAUUUCCAGUACAAUUAGGAGUAGUUCUAGUCUAGUUCUAGUUUAGCCUCUCGAUCCCCAAAUUCUCCGCCUCUCGUCGACUCUACGCCGAUUAGAGGAGUCUAGGUCGGCCGGCCCGAGCCUAGACAACCCCUAGGAUCUCUCCUCCCCGACGGGGUCCCUCCCGGGAGCGAGAUCCAGGCGCCGCCGGCGAUCCUCCGCCGCCCCUGCGCACGCGCGGACCGUCCGGCCACCAGGCAGGAAAACCUAGCCCCUGCGCCAGGUCGCGGACUGUCCGGCCCCAGGCCGCGGACCGUCCGCGCCUGACCAGAGAGCGCCGCCGCCGGUUCUUCUUGAGUAAUUGGCGCUCCGAAAAGGCGUCAACAUACUUUUUGGCGACUCUGCUGGGGACAACACAUAUAGACCUAUCAAAUCGGUCCUCAAUGGCUGGUUCAAAGGAUAGCUCUGAGGUUUCCACCAGCAAUAUCAUCACACCGACAUGGGAAGCCUUGCCGGCUGAAGAACAACUCCUGUUCGAGGAGCGCCAGGAGCAGCUGGUCCAAGAAGCAAAGGCAAAAUUCCUGGCUGACUUCAAAGUGGACAGGAACAACAAAGUCGUUCGGCAACGGGCGACAGAUCUGGCUUCGCUCCGACCUACUACGAUUACCCCAAAUGAGGACACGGAGCCCUUCCCAAUGAAUGUGAUCGACUUUAAUGGCAAAAAGGUCCUAAUUCGGCCCAACACAGCCGAUAAGGACAAAGACAAAGAAGUCAUCAUCGGCAACGCACGGGAGGCCGAUGGAAACAACAAAAUUUCUUACAGGAAAGUGAUGGCCGAGAAGACUCCUGAUGGAGGGGAGACACUGAAGGUAACCAUCACAAACUCCAGCGCUGGGGGGCAAGCACAGACAAGGGGAUAUGCGCGAGAACCCAUACUACGCAUCGCGGACGGUCCGGUGUCUAGGCGCGGACGGUCCGUAACAUCCCCGGACGGUCCGAAGCGUUCCGGCGGACGGUCUGGCAACGUCGAAGAGCCGCGGCGACCACGUACCUUCAAACCACGACGACCAGAAAUAGGUACGUGGAAAACUAACACGUUCAAGGCAACUGGUCGGUUGGUAAAAUUUAGCCCGACCUUUGAUCAAUUAUUGUCUAAAUAUGUGAAAAAGAAGGCUGGCUCCAGCGACCGGCCACCAAAGGGACCUCGCUUACCCACCCAGGUGCGACGGCAGGUUAGGCCGAUUGGACCACCACACCAAUCGGAAAGGACGGGAGGUCAUAAUGUUCAAUUAAGACCUAACAUACCUGCAUGGACACCUCCACCACCAUAUCUAACUAUGCCAUAUUCAUACACAUACAUACCUCCACCAUACGUCCCAAAUCAAAUGUGGGGCAUGCCACCAUACCCACUUAGGAUGCCACAGUACCCCGCUUGGGGGGCACCCCAAACAUCUGUAUUCAAUAGGUUGACACCUCCAGUACAAGACCGAUUGAGAGCCCCUCAAUCUGGUCCACAAGCACAGGCCCAGCAAGAUUGCCGAACAAUUCGGCCCCAAAGGCUGACUAAUCCGGCAGGGGGGCAUACAGCUACAACCUCCAACAGUACGAAAAAGGGAGACGUCAUUAAAAUAGGAACGACAGAUGUCGUCGUACAACAAAAUAACGAAGGGCCAAUGAUUUUUGGUGAAUCGGCCAACACAAACAAAAAAGAAAGUACGACUGUCAAUAAAAUAGCCGAUCCAAAAUACUCCAUGCCCCGAUGGUGCCCAUCGGGAUUGACACGAUCGCAAAAGCGAAAAUUACAGCGCCUUAGAGCAAAGGAGAAUCAGGAGAAGGAGGCGAAAAAAAUAUUCAAUGACACACAUCCGCAGUAUCCGCCACCACAAAAGAGAUGGAGACCAAAGGCCGUUGAGGAAAAUCAAACGGCCAUAAAGACAGAAAAUAAAACAGCAACUGUGCAGCUCUUUGCAGGUAUAGCAGACAGUCCGGCUAUAAAGAUCGGACCAACCGUACAGGGCGCGGACCAUCCGACCCUUGAGGUCGACUCAUCCGCAAUAAACCAUGACACCUGCAACGACGUGCCGACACCCAUGGAGGAAGAUGACCUGCAAGGAGAAGACCUGGUCGACUACGAAGCUACGCCAGAACACUUAGAAAAUUAGGAAAAGCUAGGUGACGGAUUGGUUAGGAUCAGUAUGAUGCUCGACGGUGUUGGGACCGACAGUUCGAUCAAAGCUAAAGGGGUCACGUCCGAGACCAAGACCACUGCGUACCAUCCUAGUAAGUGGCAAGAUGCCUAAGAAAACCGGUGUGAUAACAUCGAGUUAGUUGCUUUUGGUUCGCUCAGCUCCACCAAAAGGCAGGGGGGCAUAUGUUGAGCACCAAUUUGAGCGCGGACGGUCCGACCCUGUGGCCGAACGGUCCGCGCGUGCGCAGAACAGAUUAGGGUUCCGAGUUUUGUGCUACGGUUGUUAGCUAAAAUCAUGGGAUAAGCUCGGAAAUUAGUUUGUAAAGGGUCCAGCCCCCCUCCUCUAUAAAUAGAGAGGUAUACGACCGAUUUGUAAUCAACAAUCGAAUCAAUACAACUUCUAUUCGCAUUUAUUUCCAGUACAAUUAGGAGUAGUUCUAGUCUAGUUCUAGUUUAGCCUCUCGAUCCCCAAAUUCUCCGCCUCUCGUCGACUCUACGCCGAUUAGAGGAGUCUAGGUCGGCCGGCCCGAGCCUAGACAACCCCUAGGAUCUCUCCUCCCCGACGGGGUCCCUCCCGGGAGCGAGAUCCAGGCGCCGCCGGCGAUCCUCCGCCGCCCCUGCGCACGCGCGGACCGUCCAGCCCCAGGGCGCGGACCGUCCGGCCGUCAGGCAGGAAAACCUAGCCCCUGCGCCAGGUCGCGGACCGUCCGGCCCCAGGCCGCGGACCGUCCGCGCCUGACCAGAGAGCAC